RNAcentral lists this unclassified non-coding RNA (234 nucleotides) under uncultured fungus. RNAcentral describes it as "sequence contains ITS1". Lineage: Eukaryota; Fungi. The record is from RNAcentral.
GUAUUAUAUUGCGUUAAACGCGGUAUGCAUUCCAUGAGACUUUACUACAGUGUGUGUGUAAAUGCAUAGAACCACGGCAGGGAGACAGAAGCCCCCCCAGGCUGCAGAACUAUGGAGGGUGCACAGGUGUGAGUGGAUGUGUAAACAGAGCGUGCACAUGUCCCCAUUUGAGGACCAGCAACAACUCGUGUUGACAAUUCGGUAAUGAUCCUUCCGCAGGUUCACCUACGGAAA